AGUCGAGCGGAGAAUGAAGGAAGCUUGCUUCUUUCAUUCUUAGCGGCGGACGGGUGAGUAACACGUAGGCAACCUGCCCUCAAGCUUGGGACAACUACCGGAAACGGUAGCUAAUACCGAAUACAUGAUUUGUUCGCCUGAACGAAUCUGGAAAGACGGAGCAAUCUGUCACUUGAGGAUGGGCCUGCGGCGCAUUAGCUAGUUGGUGAGGUAACGGCUCACCAAGGCGACGAUGCGUAGCCGACCUGAGAGGGUGAUCGGCCACACUGGGACUGAGACACGGCCCAGACUCCUACGGGAGGCAGCAGUAGGGAAUCUUCCGCAAUGGACGCAAGUCUGACGGAGCAACGCCGCGUGAGUGAUGAAGGUUUUCGGAUCGUAAAGCUCUGUUGCCAGGGAAGAACGUCCGGUAGAGUAACUGCUAUCGGAGUGACGGUACCUGAGAAGAAAGCCCCGGCUAACUACGUGCCAGCAGCCGCGGUAAUACGUAGGGGGCAAGCGUUGUCCGGAAUUAUUGGGCGUAAAGCGCGCGCAGGCGGCUUUUUAAGUCCGGUGUCACAGCCCAAGGCUCAACCUUGGGUCGCACUGGAAACUGGAGAGCUUGAGUACAGAAGAGGAAAGUGGAAUUCCACGUGUAGCGGUGAAAUGCGUAGAGAUGUGGAGGAACACCAGUGGCGAAGGCGACUUUCUGGGCUGUAACUGACGCUGAGG
RNAcentral lists this ribosomal RNA (711 nucleotides) under bacterium 52-L049658-122-015-D07. RNAcentral describes it as "bacterial SSU rRNA". It matches the Rfam family "Bacterial small subunit ribosomal RNA", at positions 60 to 751 of the family's 1533-position model. The record is from RNAcentral.